UGCGUAGGCGGCUGUGCAAGUCUGGCGUGAAAGCCCCGGGCUCAGCCCGGGAAGUGCGCUCGAAACUGCACGGCUCGAGUGCCGGAGGGGAGAGUGGAAUUCCUGGUGUAGCGGUGAAAUGCGUAGAUAUCAGGAGGAAUACCGGUGGCGAAAGCGACUCUCUGGACGGCAACUGACGCUGAGGCACGAAAGCGUGGGAGCAAACA
Molecule: ribosomal RNA, 206 nt
Filed under: uncultured bacterium
Lineage: Bacteria
Description: partial 16S ribosomal RNA
Rfam family: Bacterial small subunit ribosomal RNA
Source: RNAcentral